Molecule: unclassified non-coding RNA, 219 nt
Filed under: Hevea brasiliensis (rubber tree)
Lineage: Eukaryota; Viridiplantae; Streptophyta; Magnoliopsida; Malpighiales; Euphorbiaceae
Source: RNAcentral
CUUGAACCCUUCCACACUCAUCAGUCAGCACACCAGAAAAGGUGCUUCCAAAAUCAGUGUCCAGCUCAAUGACCUCCAUGUUUGUUGCUCUGUACCGUGGAACAUCAGAGGAUCCAAUAUUCACAGCAGCAGAAGGAUUAGUCACGAUUGAUUUCCUUGAGGUUGCCUGCAGGCUUCUACUCAAUCCCACUAGAAACACUGAAUCUCCACGACGAAGAG